RNAcentral lists this ribosomal RNA (467 nucleotides) under uncultured bacterium. Its description in RNAcentral is "partial 16S ribosomal RNA". It matches the Rfam family "Bacterial small subunit ribosomal RNA", at positions 28 to 507 of the family's 1533-position model. The record is from RNAcentral.
GACGAACGCUGGCGGCGUGCUUAACACAUGCAAGUCGAACGGAAAGGCCUCUUUCGGGGGGUACUCGAGUGGCGAACGGGUGAGUAACACGUGAGUAACCUGCCCUUGACUUUGGGAUAACUUCAGGAAACUGGGGCUAAUACCGGAUAGGAGCUCCUGCUGCAUGGUGGGGGUUGGAAAGUUUCGGCGGUUGGGGAUGGACUCGCGGCUUAUCAGCUUGUUGGUGGGGUAGUGGCUUACCAAGGCUUUGACGGGUAGCCGGCCUGAGAGGGUGACCGGCCACAUUGGGACUGAGAUACGGCCCAGACGCCUACGGGAGGCAGCAGUGGGGAAGAUUGCACAAGGGGUGGAAGCCGGAUGCAGCAACGCCGUGUGCGGGAUGACGGCCUUCGGGUUGUAAACCGCUUUCGCUCAUGACGAAGCUUUGUGUGACGGUAGUGGGUAAAGAAGCACCGGCUAACUACGUG